CCAGACAUGGACACUACUCCAGAUGGGGCCUUACAAGAGCAGAAGGGCAGGAUCACUUCUCUCUCUCUGUGUUGACCACCCCUUUUUUGAUGCAGCUCAGGAUACUGUUGGCCUUCCAGAAUGACGUAUGCAGGAUAUCAAGCGCCGAAGUGAAGUUUUCAGUGAGUCACCCGCAGCCCCGAGCAGCGCAGCCCGCGCCCCGCCAGCCCCGCCGCGGCCUCCCUCUGCCCGGCCCCGCCGCCCCGCUCCGGCUCCGCGAUGCCUCCGCGCCUGCGGCCGCUGCUCCUGCGAGUGUCCCUGUGGGUCCUCGUGGGCUCCUCGAGCCCCGCGCUGCUCCGCGAUAGAAGCAAGGAAAAUGGACUGCAAUUGCCCAGGCUAUGCAAAUUCUGUGACAUUAAAGCAACAACAUGCUCAAACCAAUAUCAGUGCAAGAGCAACUGCAACAUCACUUCCAUCUGUGAGAAGAAUAACGAAGUCUGUGCUGCUGUAUGGAGACGGAACGAUGAGAAUGUGACAUUAGAAACAAUCUGCCACGAUCCCCAGAAGAGACUGUAUGGUCACAUGUUGGAUGACUCCAGCUCAGAGCAGUGUGUGAUGAAGGAGAAGAAGGAUGAUGGGGGGCUGAUGUUCAUGUGCUCCUGUACAGGUGAAGAGUGCAACGAUGUUCUUAUUUUUUCUGCAGACAGAUUUAGGGAAAAUGGACUGCAAUUACCCAAACUAUGCAAGUUCUGUGACAUUAAAGCAACAACAUGCUCAAACCAAUAUCAGUGCAAGAGCAACUGCAACAUCACUUCUAUCUGUGAGAAGAAUAACGAAGUCUGUGCUGCUGUAUGGAGACGGAACGAUGAGAAUGUGACAUUAGAAACAAUCUGCCACGAUCCCCAGAAGAGACUGUAUGGUCACAUGUUGGAUGACUCCAGCUCAGAGCAGUGUGUGAUGAAGGAGAAGAAGGAUGAUGGGGGACUGAUGUUCAUGUGCUCCUGUACAGGUGAAGAGUGCAACGAUGUUCUUAUUUUUUCUGCAGACAGAUUUAGGGAAAAUGGACUGCAAUUACCCAAACUAUGCAAGUUCUGUGACAUUAAAGCAACAACAUGCUCAAACCAAUAUCAGUGCAAGAGCAACUGCAACAUCACUUCUAUCUGUGAGAAGAAUAACGAAGUCUGUGCUGCUGUAUGGAGACGGAACGAUGAGAAUGUGACAUUAGAAACAAUCUGCCACGAUCCCCAGAAGAGACUGUAUGGUCACAUGUUGGAUGACUCCAGCUCAGAGCAGUGUGUGAUGAAGGAGAAGAAGGAUGAUGGGGGGCUGAUGUUCAUGUGCUCCUGUACAGGUGAAGAGUGCAACGAUGUUCUUAUUUUUUCUGCAGAUGAUCCCCAUAAGCCAGAGGAGAAAGAUGAAAUUUCCAAAGUCACAAUCAUAAGUCUUGUCCCCUUAUUGGUGAUUUCUGUUGCUGUGAUUGUUAUCUUUUAUGCCUACCGCACUCAUAAGAAGAGGAAGCUCAACAAGGCCUGGGAGAAGAAUGUUAAGCCCAGGAAACAUAAAGACUGCAGUGAUGUUUGUGCCAUUAUGUUGGAUGAUGAUCACUCAGACAUCAGCUCUACCUGUGCCAACAACAUCAACCACAACACAGAAUUGCUGCCCAUUGAGCUGGACAUUGUUGUUGGCAAAGGAAGAUUUGCUGAAGUGUAUAAAGCCAAAUUGAAGCAAAACACGUCUGAGCAGUACGAAACUGUGGCAGUAAAGAUCUUCCCCUAUGAAGAAUAUGCCUCCUGGAAAACCGAGAAAGACAUUUUUUCGGAUGUAAACCUUAAGCAUGAGAACAUCCUCCAAUUCUUGACCGCAGAGGAGCGUAAGACAGAUCUUGGUAAACAGUAUUGGUUGAUCACUGCCUUCCAUGCUAGAGGAAACUUGCAGGAGUACCUCACACGGCACAUUAUCAGCUGGGAAGACCUCUGGAAACUGGGAGGAUCCUUGGCCCGAGGGAUUGCCCAUCUGCACAGUGAUCACACACCCUGUGGUCGCCCUAAAACCCCUAUUGUGCACAGAGACCUAAAGAGUUCCAACAUCCUGGUGAAAAAUGAUUUAACUUGCUGUCUCUGUGACUUUGGGUUAUCUCUGAGGCUGGACCCUUCUCUGUCUGUGGAUGACUUGGCCAACAGCGGUCAGGUUGGCACAGCAAGGUACAUGGCCCCUGAGGUCCUGGAGUCCAGGAUGAACCUUGAGAACAUGGAGUCCUUUAAACAAACAGAUGUGUACUCCAUGGCUUUGGUCCUUUGGGAAAUGACAUCUCGCUGCAAUGGUGUUGGAGAAGUGAAAGAGUAUGAGCCCCCCUUUGGUUCUAAAGUGCGAGAACAUCCCUGCGUGGAAAGCAUGAAGGACAAUGUCCUAAGAGACAGAGGGCGACCUGAGAUCCCCAGCUCCUGGCUCAACCAUCAGGGCAUCCAGAUGGUGUGUGAGACCCUUAUUGAGUGCUGGGACCACGACCCCGAGGCUCGGCUCACGGCGCAGUGCGUGGCGGAGCGCUUCAGUGAGUUCAAGCACCACGACAAGCUCUCAGGGAGAAGCUGUUCAGAGGAGAAGAUCCCCGAGGACGGCUCCGUGACCACCGCCAAGUAGCACGCACCCAAGAGCUCCGAAAUGGAGGGAGGUUACUCCUAAGCACGUUACCUUGGCAGAGGAAGAAGUCACGAUCGGUGCCUUGACUUGCUUCCUGGAGGACUGAGGCUGUCACUACUCCCUUUGAGCUGUGGCUCUGGGCAGGGAGAUGUAUGCAUGGGAGUUAAAAGCCAGGGAGUGGGUGUUGUACUCCAGCAUUGGCAGCCGGCGUCAUGUCAUAGGAGGAGCUAAGUCUGUUAGCACUUCCUCAGGAAAUGAGAUUUGAGAAUAGCCAAUAACAUUAUGCACUUUAAUAAUGCCUGUAUAUAACUAUGAAAUUGCUAUUUUUAUAUAUAUAUACAUAUAUAUUAAAAAUGUCUGUGUAUGUAUAUAUCUAUCUAUAUAUCUGUAAACAGCCAUGAUCUGAAGAAAAGAGUUUAAAAAAUGCUUGCAGGAAAUUACCUGUGCAUUAGAGAUCCCUCCCCAUUGGGAAAGCGCCCGGGGAGACUGGUGUAUCAGGACACUAGCGAUUGUGCACUAAGCACUCUGCCAAAAAGAUAGGAACAAGGAGCAAUAAGAGGAUGGCUUUGAAGCAUGUGCUGCACACACCCAGCUGUGGCCCAGGAGACGACAGUUGCAGCAGCAGUCUCACAGCAAGGAGACAGAUCUGGCUUUGCAGUUGUAACUACACGCUCCUGCCUGCAGUGUUUUUGGGAAGAUUCGGGGAUGUCUUUGCCCUCUUGCCUUAACCCCAAGGUCCUCACAGCCUCCCAUAGUGGGAGGGAGCGUGAGGAGGUUUGGUCCCACCACCUGUGUUUCCAUGCAGAGGUCAUUAGUGUUACGUCUUUAUUGCUUUGAGUUCAUGCUGCUUGCAAGCAGGUUGCAAAAUAGCAGCGGGAUGAGAUUUUUCCCCUCCUCCCUUCCUGACCCUCAAACCGCACCAAGUCCAGCAGUAAUCCAAGCAGAUGUUUUAUAUUUGCUCUGCAUUCUGAACGCAGACUGUACUUAUUUUUUCCCUUUUCCUUUUACCUUAAUUGCGUUGCUGUGAGAACAAAUAACUUUUUCCUAGUACAGCAUAUCUGAUUGCUUGACAUACCACAGCCUGACUGUUCCAUGCUUUCUAGAGAAAAGCAAGAGACAACACCCAGUGCCUUUGCUUUCACACAAGGACCUUAGAAAUGAGGGAAGGCUCCAUGGCAUCAGGUUCAUGGCAUAUCCUGCCCUCUUCUCUUCAGGGUAGUGGGAAUUUAAUUAUCCAGACAGUUGACGUAUGUAAACUUAUACAAAUGACAGCAGUGCGUUUCAUAAUUCUGACGAUUUUGUCUUCAGGAGUUCUGCAGUGAUGUUUCACUUUUUUCUUCCCUUGGCAUGUGUUUGGGAACUGUUGAACCACUGAUUGAUCACCUGAGGCGAGCACUGAGUCAGCCAUGGAGCACAGGUGAAGGCAAUUCAGCUGUGUGAUGGAGAGGGUGGAGCCUGGCUGCACCUCUCCUAGACCUAUUUAAGGGCUGACUGCCACAGGGGAAGGGUCUCUUUUUGGAGAUCACUUUCUUCGGAGUUUUUUCUGUGAGCCUAGGACAAAGAUGCCCGGAUGUCCAGCUGCCGCUGCACGUGUCCCUCUGUGCUGCUGUCUUGUCUGGAGAGCAUCAGCAAAGGGAUGCAGUGGCCAUUCCUUCACCAUGUAAAACCAUCUCUGGUCACGGGCAGGGGACAGAAGCAGGCUCACAGCUGACUCUCUCCUAUUGUCAACUCAAUCGCAAGCGCAGGAAAUUGUAUUGGAAGUCCUGAGAGCAAGACUGCUAGCUUCAGGCACGAUGAUUUGUGAGUGACGUUGCACAUGGAUCCAGCACAAAAUGCCUGAAGUUCUCAGAAGAUGCAUCCAUAUAACUGACAGCAAUAACUACCUCAGCAUCCCUGCUAAGUAUUUACUUUCUUUCCUAAAGCUUUGUAUUGAAAAAAGAUUAUUAAAAGUAGACACAUAAAAUUUAAAAAACAAACAAACAAACAAAUCAGCCAGUGGAUCUGUUUCUACACUGAUUUAUACCUGUACUCCACUACCUUCACAAUUGGCUGAGCAUCCUGAGAGAUGUAACUCAGUAACUAAGAGUGGGAGAGAGCUCAUGGGCCAGUCCCAUAUAGUUUAAAAGAAAAAAAAAAAAAGCCAUUUCUGCAAAAAUAAUUUAGCUUCUGCAUUUGAAAGCGAGAGCAAGAUAAAUGGUGACACAUUUUCAUCCAAGAUGUUUAUUAAAGAUGAUAAGGGCACAGCACACAGACAAACCACAUCCUGAAGCAUGGUUAAGCUAGGUUUCACAUUCUAAAGCUGUGCAGGCAGCUUGCUGUUUCUCCAUCUGGAGAGCUCAUUGGUACCUCUCUUGUACACAUCUCUGCAGUUUUAGAUCGAGAAAUUACAAACACAGCCUACAUUUAUAUGGGUGUCAUUUACUUCACUUUUUAUUAAAAUCAUCAGCUACAAAAUAGCCAUUUCGAACAUCCCAGUCCUAAAUAAGCAACUACGAAAAAAAUUAGUCCUGAAAUGAGACCACAAUGGACAUGAUAAGGGGUCAGAAACACGAGAAGAUACAGAGACAUCAGAGAAGGCACUCACAUCACACUGAAAGGUUAAACCAUACCUUUGAAAACAUCAGUGCACUUGUUGAUCUGAGACACACUUUCUGCAAACAUUGAAAAAGUUCCAUUUUCCCCUCAUUUAAAAAAAGAACUACAGCCACUAUGACACAGGAGAAACUGCUACUUCAACCCAACAUGUGACAGAAGUCCCACAGUACCUGGAAACAGAAAAAUGUGCUAACAUGGAAAGAAACAACACUUUUUUGAUAGUAGUGGUGUCACAAAACACCAGGUAAAAUUCUCAGCUGACAGCAAGUGACACACUUCCUCCGAGUCAAAAAAUUAAGUACUCACCAAGACUCUGGAUAACAAUAAAAGAAUCCUGACAGUAUUCUGUCUCUCCCUUCAAGGACAAAAAAGAAAAAGUGAAGGGUUAACAGUCCUAUCUACCUUCAGAAGCAACAGCGAAGUCAUCGCAUCCAUCCAGCAGCCCUUGACAUGCUCUGCACUCCACCCAGAGUCGCUGGGAGGCUAAAUAAGCUUUGUGGGCCCUGCAUUCAGUUAUGUGCUUUACAAAACCAUAACAACUGGUAUACCCAGAAGCACUAGAUAGUAAAUGAUAAAGUAUUCUGCGAAUAUUACAGUGCAGAAUCAAGGGGCCAUGUUGUGCCAUUUAUUUUUAUGUUAAUAUCAAUGUGGAGUUCAGCUUAAUAUCCAGUGACUCGCUGUAAUAGCAACAGAAUAAUCACUUCCAGGACACUGUUAAGGACAUCUGUCAAGUUCUGCAGAUUUGACUCCUUCUAUCUACUGCUCUGACAGUGUGACCUCCUAGGUUAUCAUGACCCUGCUAAACUUUCCAUACCAUCAUCCUGGAGGUGGGAAGUAGGAAUGUCACGCAAUGUUGGAUCCUAGCAUAACGUGAGAAAUGAAAACAUAAAAGCAUUGUGUUUAAAGACAACUUUCAUCAACACAUUACAGCACAAAGAUCUGCAUUGGUCAGUGCUACCUCAAAAACAAAAUAAGGAACAAACAUCAAAACAAUAAGGUAAGUAGGUGUUAAUCAGAUGAUGAAACAUGUUAUUUUCAUUAGUCUGCUGCAAGAAAUUCACUCCAAGAAAUACAUCUCUAGCUUUACAAAGCUGCCCCUUUUAUAUCUAGAAUGACAACAAAUCAAAAGGAUACUAUAAUUCUUAACACAAAGUUUAGAACUUAACUUUGCAACAUAAGAUUAACAAAAGAUACUCGAUGGCUCCCAUCAUAAAAACAGGCAGGCUAUCACUGAUCACCUCCACGUUGAUUUCAGUGCCAAAGUAUAAAUUAUACACUGAUAACAUAAAAUCAAGUCAUCUCAUAUCUAAUAUAGGCAAAUACAGACUGACGGUGAAAACUAUCACUUUUCUACAUGUUUAACAUAUAGUUGCCAAGUUUUAAAAUACAUAUCUUUCAGGUACAUAUACUUUUUUUUUUU
This is an RNA transcript of Lagopus muta (rock ptarmigan), 6631 nucleotides long. It is a transcript of the gene named transforming growth factor beta receptor 2, with no coding region annotated. The transcript is spliced from 14 exons. The record is from RefSeq and is a predicted model, not a curated record. NCBI's taxonomy places the organism in Eukaryota, Metazoa, Chordata, Aves, Galliformes, Phasianidae.